UCGACAAGAACUGUCUGGCUUGCUGCAUUCUGGGUGUUCUGACUAUUACUGAUGGCCAUGUGAAAAAUGUGAGAGCGUUACCUGGGCCAUCAAGCUACACCUGGUACUGAAAUAAUCCAGGUAGCCAAGCAUGGUAUUUCGCCUUUUGUUGGCUAUGCCACAUUACUGGUUGAUGACACUUGAAAGACACCGUGUAUUUGAGACAACAGCAAAAUCAACAUGGUCCUUAAUACUUCUAAAAUGAUCUGUUGCCAGCCAGCUGACAGUUGUUUGGCUGAAAUUCUUUGUCAACAUUAUUAAUUAACAAUGAGUUGAUGUCUGCUACUUGUUAUGAGUUCAUUUGAAGCCAUGCUCUAACUAGAAGAAGG
This is a long non-coding RNA of Corticium candelabrum, 368 nucleotides long. RefSeq lists it as uncharacterized. The record is from RefSeq and is a predicted model, not a curated record. The transcript is spliced from 4 exons. Lineage: Eukaryota; Metazoa; Porifera; Homoscleromorpha; Homosclerophorida; Plakinidae.